Molecule: long non-coding RNA, 1640 nt
Organism: Erigeron canadensis
Lineage: Eukaryota; Viridiplantae; Streptophyta; Magnoliopsida; Asterales; Asteraceae
Exons: 2
Source: RefSeq, a predicted model, not a curated record
CAAAAAGUUUUAUUAUAUGAAGGCUAGCAGGAUAUAUGGUUAUGAAGAAUCAAAAUACAACACCAAAAUACUGCGAAAUAUUAAACUCACACCAAGCUUCCCACGCCAAUAAACUUCGCUCUAGCUUUAAUCCAGAGGUAGCUUAAUGCCUUGGUGUCACUGGAUUUUUUGAUCCCAUUCGGAACACCCCUUACAUUCUUUGCGCCCAUGCGUAGAGAUUAGAUUGAUAUGAAUCACCAAUAAACUAGGGCCUCUAUUCGAUAUGGUUAUAUGGAGAGGCACUACAAAAAGUUUGAAAAGAUUCUUGUCCAAGAAUCUCCAUCACGUUAGGAAAAGUAUGGUCGAGUAGUGGUCCCUCUUGGCUCAAGAGGGACAUGAUGAUGAUCAUGCAAGGAGGGCCACAAAAUACUAUCUAUUACUAGUGGAUUAAAUGCCACAGAAAUUAUCGACACCGUGUUCAGAAUCUAUAAGACAAUGGUAAUUAAAAUGUCAUUGCAUUAUAUCUAUAUAGACAUUUUAUCACAUAUUGCUUUGGGUUUUCUUUUCUAACAUUUAGAUUGAUCUACACUAGCAUACGGCUACUUAUCUAAGUAAAGAUGAUGAUACGAAGAGCGAGCAUGGGAUGUAUAUCAUGAAAUUUUCAAAUACUAUGUUGCAUUAUAUUCCAUUAUUUGUUUAUGUAACUUAAAAUUUAUUCUUGUUUUUAUACUAUAAUUCCUGCCUCCAAUAUAAAAAGCAAGAAAAAUUUAAAGUACAUAAACAAACAAUAGGAUAUAGUGCAACAUAGGUUUUUAAAAAUUACAGGAUAAACAUACCUUGCUCGUUCUCCUUAUCAACAUAUUGACUCGGGUCGGUAGUCCUUUGAUAGUGUGGUUCAAUUUAAAUGAUUUUAAAGAAAAACUGAGUAAUAUCUAAAAAAGUUAUGUUUAGAUAUAAUGCAAUAACAUUAAAAUUCCCCGAAGGCAUUGUCUUAAAGAUUCUGAACAAGAGCCCAUGAUUUAAGUGGCAUUUCACCCACCGAUAAGAGAUAAUUGUAUAAAGAAUAAUUAAACAUUGGACCCAAUAAGACGUAUACAAAUUAGUUAUCCUUUGAAAGGAACCAAGAGGUACGUAAUGUGUGGGUUGUGUAAGGAAGAGCCCGAAUCAACUGAUCAUCUUUUUGGGUCGUGUGAGGAUGCCAUGAAAAUAUGGGAUCAUAUAAGCAGGUGGUGCAAUACUAGCCUGUUCUAUAUUGUUUCUUUCGAGGAUAUUGUCGAGAUAAACAACCAUGUGGGGCUGGAUAAGAGGGCAAGAAAUUCUUCACGGCAUCUUCAUUGUAGUUUGUUCGAGCUUAUGGAAGGCAAGGAAUGACUACAAGUUUUCGAACAUUCCGGUGAAUGUUGGAAGGAUUAUUAACUCAUAUUAAAUCCACAAGUUUCUUAUGGUAUAAGGGUAAAAGGAAGAGUAGUAUUACUUGGGAAAAUUGGUGUAAAUUCAAUGUAUUAUAAGCCCUGUUUGUAUUAUCUCCGGUAAGUUUUUGGCCAACGGGUUGUAGUUGUGAAUGGUGUUUUUCAUUGAAUUAGUUUGGGUAUAGAACAAGUAUGAUAUUCUUAAGUAGCUUUGCUAUAAUGAGAAUUUUUUGAAUGUCUUAAAUGUUUUAA